AGAACGAACGCUGGCGGCAUGCCUAAUACAUGCAAGUCGAACGAACACUUCGGUGUUAGUGGCGCACGGGUGCGUAACGCGUGGGAAUCUGCCCUUGGGUUCGGAAUAACAGUUGGAAACGACUGCUAAUACCGGAUGAUAUCGAAAGAUCAAAGAUUUAUCGCCCAGGGAUGAGCCCGCGUAGGAUUAGCUAGUUGGUGAGGUAAAGGCUCACCAAGGCGACGAUCCUUAGCUGGUCUGAGAGGAUGAUCAGCCACACUGGGACUGAGACACGGCCCAGACUCCUACGGGAGG
This 294-nucleotide ribosomal RNA is filed under the name uncultured soil bacterium. Its description in RNAcentral is "partial 16S ribosomal RNA". It matches the Rfam family "Bacterial small subunit ribosomal RNA", at positions 26 to 348 of the family's 1533-position model. The record is from RNAcentral.